UCACACCUUUCGUCCACACAUAAACGGCGUUUCCAAUCACAGAAAAUGGAGAUUUUUUAAAACUCCUGUCAGGUUGGAGAUUUUCAAAAACUCCAUUUUUAUGUUUACUUGUGGACGAGGAAUACGGAGUUCGUCACGCAACGUCAAAGGUUACUGAAGCCCACAGAUGACUCUUCUGCAUGAUCAAAAUGUGUGAUGCUUCAGUAAAUGCAGAAAUUCCUCCAGUUGCCAUAAGACACUGUAUAAAUGUAAUGCUGCCUUCAAGCUCACCGACAGCAAUCAUAAUUACUGGAGUCGUCGAAAAUUUCCAUGCGCCUCAAAGAAGUGACGUCACAGAGCCAGAGACAAUAACGACGUUAACAAGGCCAUCGUUUAAUAAAAUAAUGCAAUAAUGUAUAUUUUAUAAAAUUACGCUAUUUACUACAUUGUUUACUGUAACGUGUGUAAUCCAAUCCCUACUCGUUGUCAUACUAGUAGGCUAUAGAUUAUUUGCCUAUAUUACUAUAAACCUAUCGCAUCUCAGCGCACAAUGUGUUUUGUCAUGCUUUUUGAAAACAACUUCUGUCCAGGAUAUCACGU
Astatotilapia calliptera (eastern happy) is the source of this 579-nucleotide long non-coding RNA. Lineage: Eukaryota; Metazoa; Chordata; Actinopteri; Cichliformes; Cichlidae. The record is from Ensembl.